RNAcentral lists this ribosomal RNA (253 nucleotides) under uncultured bacterium. RNAcentral's name for it is "partial 16S ribosomal RNA". It matches the Rfam family "Bacterial small subunit ribosomal RNA", at positions 524 to 776 of the family's 1533-position model. The record is from RNAcentral.
UACGUAGGGGGCAAGCGUUAUCCGGAUUUACUGGGUGUAAAGGGAGCGUAGGCGGCAUGGUAAGCCAGAUGUGAAAGCCUUGGGCUUAACCCGAGGAUUGCAUUUGGAACUAUCAAGCUAGAGUACAGGAGAGGAAAGCGGAAUUCCUAGUGUAGCGGUGAAAUGCGUAGAUAUUAGGAAGAACACCAGUGGCGAAGGCGGCUUUCUGGACUGAAACUGACGCUGAGGCUCGAAAGCGUGGGGAGCAAAUAGG